RNAcentral lists this ribosomal RNA (453 nucleotides) under uncultured bacterium. Its description in RNAcentral is "bacterial SSU rRNA". It matches the Rfam family "Bacterial small subunit ribosomal RNA", at positions 340 to 786 of the family's 1533-position model. The record is from RNAcentral.
UACGGGAGGCAGCAGUGGGGAAUAUUGCACAAUGGGCGCAAGCCUGAUGCAGCCAUGCCGCGUGUAUGAAAAAGGCCUUCGGGUUGUAAAGUACUUUCAGUCGUGAGGAAGGUGUUAAGGUUAAUAACCUUAGCAAUUGACGUUAGCGACAGAAGAAGCACCGGCUAACUCCGUGCCAGCAGCCGCGGUAAUACGGAGGGUGCGAGCGUUAAUCGGAAUUACUGGGCUAAAGGGCACGCAGGCGGUUAAUUAAGUUGGAUGUGAAAUCCCCGGGCUUAACCUGGGAAUGGCAUUCAAGACUGGUUAGCUAGAGUCUUGUAGAGGGGGUUAGAAUUCCAUGUGUAGCGGUGAAAUGCGUAGAGAUGUGGAGGAAUACCGGUGGCGAAGGCGGCCCCUGGACAAAGACUGACGCUCAUGUGCGAAAGCGUGGGGAGCAAACAGGGAUUAGAUACC